Molecule: ribosomal RNA, 492 nt
Filed under: uncultured bacterium
Lineage: Bacteria
Description: partial 16S ribosomal RNA
Rfam family: Bacterial small subunit ribosomal RNA
Source: RNAcentral
AGUGAACGCUGGCGGUAGGCCUAACACAUGCAAGUCGAACGGCAGCACAGUAAGAGCUUGCUCUUACGGGUGGCGAGUGGCGGACGGGUGAGGAAUACAUCGGAAUCUACUUUUUCGUGGGGGAUAACGUAGGGAAACUUACGCUAAUACCGCAUACGGCCUACGGGUGAAAGCAGGGGAUCUUCGGACCUUGCGCGAUUGAAUGAGCCGAUGUCGGAUUAGCUAGUUGGCGGGGUAAAGGCCCACCAAGGCGACGAUCCGUAGCUGGUCUGAGAGGAUGAUCAGCCACACUGGAACUGAGACACGGUCCAGACUCCUACGGGAGGCAGCAGUGGGGAAUAUUGGACAAUGGGCGCAAGCCUGAUCCAGCCAUACUGCGUGGGUGAAGAAGGCCUUCGGGUUGUAAAGCCCUUUUGUUGGGAAAGAAAAGCAGCAGGUUAAUACCCCGCUGUUCUGACGGUACCCAAAGAAUAAGCACCGGCUAACUUCGUG